Molecule: ribosomal RNA, 496 nt
Filed under: uncultured Glomeromycotina
Lineage: Eukaryota; Fungi; Glomeromycota
Description: partial small subunit ribosomal RNA
Rfam family: Eukaryotic small subunit ribosomal RNA
Source: RNAcentral
CCAAUAGCGUAUAUUAAAGUUGUUGCAGUUAAAAAGCUCGUAGUUGAAUUUCGGGAUCAAUUUAUCGGUCGUGCAAUAGUACGUACUGAUUUUAUUGAUUCCUCUCUUCUGAUGAACUAUGAUGUCAUUAAUUUGGUGUCACAGGAAAUCAGGACUGUUACUUUGAAAAAAUUAGAGUGUUUAAAGCAGGCUCACGCUUGAAUACAUUAGCAUGGAAUAACGAAAUAGGACGUUUGAUUCUAUUUUGUUGGUUUCUAGGAUCGACGUAAUGAUUAAUAGGGAUAGUUGGGGGCAUUAGUAUUCAAUUGUCAGAGGUGAAAUUCUUGGAUUUAUUGAAGACUAACUACUGCGAAAGCAUUUGCCAAGGAUGUUUUCAUUAAUCAAGAACGAAAGUUAGGGGAUCGAAGACGAUCAGAUACCGUCGUAGUCUUAACCAUAAACUAUGCCGACUAGGGAUCGGAUGAUGUUAAAUUAAUGACUCAUUCGGCGCCUUACG